AAGUUACGCUAAUACCGCAUAUUCUGUGAGCAGGAAAGCAGGGGAUCGCAAGACCUUGCGCUGAUUGAGCGGCCGAUAUCAGAUUAGCUAGUUGGUGAGGUAAAGGCUCACCAAGGCGACGAUCUGUAGCGGGUCUGAGAGGAUGAUCCGCCACACUGGAACUGAGACACGGUCCAGACUCCUACGGGAGGCAGCAGUGGGGAAUUUUGGACAAUGGGGGCAACCCUGAUCCAGCCAUGCCGCGUGAGUGAAGAAGGCCUUCGGGUUGUAAAGCUCUCUCAGCCGGGAAGAAAACGCAUGGGUUAAUACCCUGUGUGGAUGACGGUACCGGAAUAAGAAGCACCGGCUAACUACGUGCCAGCAGCCGCGGUAAUACGUAGGGUGCGAGCGUUAAUCGGAAUUACUGGGCGUAAGGCGUGCGCAGGCGGUUUGUUAAGAUAGGCGUGAAAUCCCCGGGCUCAACCUGGGAACUGCGUUUAUGACUGGCAGGCUAGAGUAUGGCAGAGGGGGGUGGAAUUCCACGUGUAGCAGUGAAAUGCGUAGAGAUGUGGAGGAACACCGAUGGCGAAGGCAGCCCCCUGGGCCAAUACUGACGCUCAUGCACGAAAGCGUGGGUAGCAAACAGGAUUAGAUACCCUGGUAGUCCACGCCCUAAACGAUGUCAACUAGGUGUUGGGUGGGUAAAACCAUUUAGUACCGGAGCUAACGCGUGAAGUUGACCGCCUGGGGAGUACGGCCGCAAGGUUAAAACUCAAAGGAAUUGACGGGGACCCGCACAAGCGGUGGAUGAUGUGGAUUAAUUCGAUGCAACGCGAAAAACCUUACCUACCCUUGACAUGUCCGGAAGCCCUUAGAGAUUUGGGUGUGCUCGAAAGAGAGCCGGAACACAGGUGCUGCAUGGCUGUCGUCAGCUCGUGUCGUGAGAUGUUGGGUUAAGUCCCGCAACGAGCGCAACCCUUGUCGUUAAUUGCCAUCAUUUAGUUGGGCACUUUAACGAGACUGCCGGUGACAAACCGGAGGAAGGUGGGGAUGACGUCAAGUCCUCAUGGCCCUUAUGGGUAGGGCUUCACACUUCAUACAAUGGUCGGUACAGAGGGUUGCCAGCCCGCGAGGGGGAGCUAAUCCCAGAAAGCCGAUCGUAGUCCGGAUUGUAGGCUGCAACUCGCCUGCAUGAAGUCGGAAUCGCUAGUAAUCGUGGAUCAGCAUGUCACGGUGAAUACGUUCCCGGGUCUUGUACACACCGCCCGUCACACCAUGGGAGCGGGUUCCGCCAGAAGUAGGUAGCCUAACCGCAAGGAGGGCGCUUACCACGGCGGGGUUCGUGACUGGGGUGAAGUCGGAACAGGGUA
This 1349-nucleotide ribosomal RNA is filed under the name metagenome. RNAcentral describes it as "bacterial SSU rRNA". It matches the Rfam family "Bacterial small subunit ribosomal RNA", at positions 155 to 1498 of the family's 1533-position model. The record is from RNAcentral.